GUGCCAGCAGCCGCGGUAAUACAGAGAUGGCAACCGUUGUUCGGAAUUACUGGGCUUAAAGCGUACGUAGGCGGAACGACAAGUUGGGUGUGAAAUAUCAUAGCUUACCUAUGGUGCUGCAUUCAAAACUGUCGAUCUUGAGUGCGAAAGGGGAGAGUGGAACUCCUAGUGGAGCGGUGAAAUGUGUUGAUAUUAGGAGGAACGCCGGUGGCGAAAGCGACUCUCUGGUUCGCAACUGACGCUGAGGUACGAAAGCUAGGGGAGCAAACGGGAUUAGAUACCCCGGUAGUCCUAGCCGUAAACGAUGGGCACUAAGUAGGGGGGCAACCUCCCUGCCGGAGCAAAAGUAUUAAGUGCCCCGCCUGGGGAGUACGGUCGCAAGGCUGAAACUCAAAGGAAUGACGG
Molecule: ribosomal RNA, 405 nt
Filed under: uncultured bacterium
Lineage: Bacteria
Description: bacterial SSU rRNA
Rfam family: Bacterial small subunit ribosomal RNA
Source: RNAcentral